Molecule: ribosomal RNA, 506 nt
Filed under: uncultured bacterium
Lineage: Bacteria
Description: partial 16S ribosomal RNA
Rfam family: Bacterial small subunit ribosomal RNA
Source: RNAcentral
AUUGAACGCUGGCGGCAGGCCUAACACAUGCAAGUCGGGCGGUAACAGGAAUCAGCUUGCUGAUUCGCUGACGAGCGGCGGACGGGUGAGUAAUGUCUGGGAAACUGCCUGAUGGAGGGGGAUAACUACUGGCAACGGUAGCUAAUACCGCAUAACGUCUACGGACCAAAGUGGGGGACCUUCGGGCCUCAUGCCAUCAGAUGUGCCCAGAUGGGAUUAGCUAGGAGGUGGGGUAACGGCUCACCUAGGCGACGAUCCCUAGCUGGUCUGAGAGGAUGACCAGCCACACUGGAACUGAGACACGGUCCAGACUCCUACGGGAGGCAGCAGUGGGGAAUAUUGCACAAUGGGCGCAAGCCUGAUGCAGCCAUGCCGCGUGUAUGAAGAAGGCCUUCGGGUUGUAAAGUACUUUCAGCGGGGAGGAAGGUGUUGUGGUUAAUAACCGCAGCAAUUGACGUUACCCGCAGAAGAAGCACCGGCUAACUCCGUGCCAGCAGCCGCGGUAA